RNAcentral lists this ribosomal RNA (465 nucleotides) under Vreelandella stevensii. Its description in RNAcentral is "partial 16S ribosomal RNA". It matches the Rfam family "Bacterial small subunit ribosomal RNA", at positions 338 to 795 of the family's 1533-position model. Lineage: Bacteria; Pseudomonadati; Pseudomonadota; Gammaproteobacteria; Oceanospirillales; Halomonadaceae. The record is from RNAcentral.
CCUACGGGGUGCUGCAGUGGGGAAUAUUGGACAAUGGGCGAAAGCCUGAUCCAGCCAUGCCGCGUGUGUGAAGAAGGCCUUCGGGUUGUAAAGCACUUUCAGUGGGGAAGAAAGCCUUGGGGCUAAUACCCUCGAGGAAGGACAUCACCCACAGAAGAAGCACCGGCUAACUCCGUGCCAGCAGCCGCGGUAAUACGGAGGGUGCGAGCGUUAAUCGGAAUUACUGGGCGUAAAGCGCGCGUAGGCGGUCUGAUAAGCCGGUUGUGAAAGCCCCGGGCUCAACCUGGGAACGGCAUCCGGAACUGUCAGGCUAGAGGGCAGGAGAGGAAGGUAGAAUUCCCGGUGUAGCGGUGAAAUGCGUAGAGAUCGGGAGGAAUACCAGUGGCGAAGGCGGCCUUCUGGACUGACACUGACGCUGAGGUGCGAAAGCGUGGGUAGCAAACAGGAUUAGAUACCCGGGUAGUC